RNAcentral lists this unclassified non-coding RNA (229 nucleotides) under Hevea brasiliensis (rubber tree). Lineage: Eukaryota; Viridiplantae; Streptophyta; Magnoliopsida; Malpighiales; Euphorbiaceae. The record is from RNAcentral.
UUGUACUGUUUGGAAGAGAGGAAAGUUACUUUACCUAGUUUGGGAAGGGGAGAGAAACUGGAGCUCAAAAUUUUCUCUAUGGCCCACAAAAACUAGUCUAGAGAAAGGGGAUGGGGACUUUGAAAAUUACUUCUUUAACCUGUACUAGCCAUUAGUUAUCCAAAAAGCUAAGGUCAAAAAUUGUAAUUUUAAAGAACUUUCUUCCAUUUUCCUUCUCAUUUUCUUGAAA